GACAUGUGCUCUGCUUUCUCCCUCU
RNAcentral lists this non-coding RNA (25 nucleotides) under Mus musculus (house mouse). Lineage: Eukaryota; Metazoa; Chordata; Mammalia; Rodentia; Muridae. The record is from RNAcentral.